This 550-nucleotide ribosomal RNA is filed under the name uncultured bacterium. RNAcentral's name for it is "bacterial SSU rRNA". It matches the Rfam family "Bacterial small subunit ribosomal RNA", at positions 355 to 896 of the family's 1533-position model. The record is from RNAcentral.
UAGGGAAUCUUCGGCAAUGGGGGCAACCCUGACCGAGCAACGCCGCGUGAGUGAAGAAGGUUUUCGGAUCGUAAAGCUCUGUUGUAAGUCAAGAACGAGUGUGAGAGUGGAAAGUUCACACUGUGACGGUAGCUUACCAGAAAGGGACGGCUAACUACGUGCCAGCAGCCGCGGUAAUACGUAGGUCCCGAGCGUUGUCCGGAUUUAUUGGGCGUAAAGCGAGCGCAGGCGGUUUGAUAAGUCUGAAGUUAAAGGCUGUGGCUCAACCAUAGUUCGCUUUGGAAACUGUCAAACUUGAGUGCAGAAGGGGAGAGUGGAAUUCCAUGUGUAGCGGUGAAAUGCGUAGAUAUAUGGAGGAACACCGGUGGCGAAAGCGGCUCUCUGGUCUGUAACUGACGCUGAGGCUCGAAAGCGUGGGGAGCGAACAGGAUUAGAUACCCUGGUAGUCCACGCCGUAAACGAUGAAUGCUAGGUGUUGGAUCCUUUCCGGGAUUCAGUGCCGCAGCUAACGCAUUAAGCACUCCGCCUGGGGAGUACGACCGCAAGGUUG